RNAcentral lists this ribosomal RNA (301 nucleotides) under uncultured bacterium. RNAcentral describes it as "partial 16S ribosomal RNA". It matches the Rfam family "Bacterial small subunit ribosomal RNA", at positions 509 to 807 of the family's 1533-position model. The record is from RNAcentral.
CAGUCGCCGCGGUAAUACGUAGGUGGCAAGCGUUGUCCGGAAUUAUUGGGCGUAAAGGGCUCGCAGGCGGUUUCUUAAGUCUGAUGUGAAAGCCCCCGGCUCAACCGGGGAGGGUCAUUGGAAACUGGGAAACUUGAGUGCAGAAGAGGAGAGUGGGAUUCCACGUGUAGCGGUGAAAUGCGUAGAGAUGUGGAGGAACACCAGUGGCGAAGGCGACUCUCUGGUCUGUAACUGACGCUGAGGAGCGAAAGCGUGGGAAGCGAACAGGAUUAGAUACCCGUGUAGUCCCUGUCUCUUAUAC